UACGGAAGGCAGCAGUGGGGAAUAUUGGACAAUGGGCGAAAGCCUGAUCCAGCCAUGCCGCAUGAGUGAAGAAGGCCUUCGGGUUGUAAAGCUCUUUUAGUGAGAAAGAUAAUGACGGUACUCACAGAAGAAGUCCUGGCUAACUCCGUGCCAGCAGCCGCGGUAAUACGGAGAGGGCUAGCGUUAUUCGGAAUUAUUGGGCGUAAAGAGCGCGUAGGCUGAUUAGUAAGUUAAAAGUGAAAUCCCAAAGCUUAACUUUGGAAUUGCUUUUUAAAACUGCUAGUCUAGAGAUUGAAAGAGGAUAGAGGAAUUCCUAGUGUAGAGGUGAAAUUCGUAAAUAUUAGGAGGAACACCAGUGGCGAAGGCGUCUAUCUGGUUCAAAUCUGACGCUGAGGCGCGAAGGGCGUGGGGAGCGAAACAGGGAUUAGAUACC
This 433-nucleotide ribosomal RNA is filed under the name uncultured bacterium. RNAcentral's name for it is "bacterial SSU rRNA". It matches the Rfam family "Bacterial small subunit ribosomal RNA", at positions 340 to 786 of the family's 1533-position model. The record is from RNAcentral.